GUCCACGCCGUAAACGAUGAAUGCCAGCCGUUAGUGGGUUUACUCACUAGUGGCGCAGCUAACGCUUUAAGCAUUCCGCCUGGGGAGUACGGUCGCAAGAUUAAAAACUCAAAAGGAAUUGACGGGGGCCCGCACAAAGCGGUGGAGCAUGUGGUUUAAUUCGACGCAACGCGCAGAACCUUACCAGCCCUUGACAUCCCGGUCGCGGACUCCAGAGAUGGAGUUCUUCAGUUCGGCUGGACCGGAGACAGGUGCUGCAUGGCUGUCGU
RNAcentral lists this ribosomal RNA (269 nucleotides) under uncultured bacterium. RNAcentral describes it as "partial 16S ribosomal RNA". It matches the Rfam family "Bacterial small subunit ribosomal RNA", at positions 793 to 1055 of the family's 1533-position model. The record is from RNAcentral.